AAACUUAAAGGAAUUGACGGGACCCGCACAAGCGGUGGAUGAUGUGGUUUAAUUCGAUGCAACGCGAAAACCUUACCCACCUUUGACAUGUACGGAACCUUUAGAGAUAGAGGGUGCUCGAAAGAGAGCCGUAACACAGGUGCUGCAUGGCUGUCGUCAGCUCGUGUCGUGAGAUGUUGGGUUAAGUCCCGCAACGAGCGCAACCCUUGUCAUUAGUUGCUACAUUCAGUUGGGCACUCUAAUGAGACUGCCGGUGACAAGCCGGAGGAAGGUGGGGAUGACGUCAAGUCCUCAUGGCCCUUAUAGGUGGGGCUACACACGUCAUACAAUGGCUGGUACAAAGGGUUGCCAACCCGCGAGGGGGAGCCAAUCCCAUAAAGCCAGUCGUAGUCCGGAUCGUAGUCUGCAACUCGACUACGUGAAGUCGGAAUCGCUAGUAAUCGUGGAUCAGAAUGUCACGGUGAAUACGUUCCCGGGUCUU
Molecule: ribosomal RNA, 481 nt
Filed under: uncultured Rhodoferax sp.
Lineage: Bacteria; Pseudomonadati; Pseudomonadota; Betaproteobacteria; Burkholderiales; Comamonadaceae
Description: bacterial SSU rRNA
Rfam family: Bacterial small subunit ribosomal RNA
Source: RNAcentral